This 2504-nucleotide unclassified non-coding RNA is filed under the name Leishmania donovani. Its description in RNAcentral is "gene:unknown". The record is from RNAcentral. Lineage: Eukaryota; Euglenozoa; Kinetoplastea; Trypanosomatida; Trypanosomatidae.
ACAUCCCUUUGCCAAGACUCGACUCUCUUUCGCUCUCACACCCCUCCCACACUCGCCCCCCGCCUCCCUCCUCGUCAGCUCUGUCGCGCCAUCUCGACCCCCUGUGCCAUCGCUUCUCCUGCCCAUCUCCGCCUCACCUUUUUGUUUGCUGCGCCUUUGCGAAGAUGUAUUCCCAUAUCGGCGUUCUGAUCUACGUGAUCCUCCAGUUCCUCGCGUUGCUUUGUUUGGUGGUGGCUACGCCGUUCGACAUGUUUCGCGAGGUGAAGGGCGGGGUCUUCGGCGGCAGCGCUUGUGUGACGCUAUGGGGUUUACAGAAGGUGUGCUUGGGCACAGAGUACAUCAUGAAGACGAGGGUGCUGUGGAAGAAUUGCCCGAGCCGCCGCGACCGUUUCCUCCUUGCUCAGGUGUUUGAUGUCAUCUCACUCGCCGUGUACGCCGUAGCGUUUCUGUUCGGUUUCAUUUUGCUGUGGUGCUGCUCUGCCUUUCGCUGGGUCUGCCUGGCCCUCAACAUCGUCGGCAUCGGCACCGUGUGCGUCGUCUGGGUGCUGAUGGUGAAGGUCUACCACAUCGAUGAUGGCACUGUUUGCAUGGUUCUGGACAAGGGCUUCCGCUUUGGUAUCGGCUUUGGUCUCUUAUUGGUGGCCUGGGUGCUGGAUAUCAUCGCCAUCUUCUUCUUGCUGCUGCCAUUAGAGGCCAAGCAGGACAGUGAGAGUACAAAGUCGGACGAGUACCGAGAACAGGAGUAGGCAGCCAAGAGCGGAAGGAGGCGGGGUGCGCUGCUGCAGUGUAUGGGAGGGUCUGCUGCCUUGCUCAUGGCAGAACGACACGUGGCCAAAAAAGUCGAGUUUGUUUUCACACGGUCUCUCCCCGGUGUGUCUCUUUUCGUCCUUCUGUGCUUUCUUCAUUUUUGCUGUUUUCAUCGGUACCGCGAUCUGCCCUUUGUGGUGAGCAACGCACGCAUGGCACCGACAAGCCCGCCCAUGCCCCCUUCCCCCCUCUCUGCCCCUCGCCUUCACUAUCUCCUCGACAUCGCCCCCCUCCCGCUCACCCGACGCACCUUUGCGAAGUGAAGAAGCAAAGGACGCAGCAAGAUGCCCACACGGUCGCCGCCGGCCGGAGAAUCAGCGGGGGGGGGGAGGGGAGGAGAGAGGAGAGCGGGCAAAACGGAGGGGGCAGGCAAACGCAAAGGCGGGCGGGGGAAACCGAUGCCCUCGCGCGAAGGACGGGAAACGCAGCGCCACGCCGCAUCGGUCACCCGCCUCCGUCCCACCCCCAUCCAUACCCCAUAGCUGAGAUCGCGCGUCUUUCUGGCGCUUCUCUCUCGCGUGCCCUUUGGCCCUCGUCGCUGCCUCUCCUCCCUCACACACGCCUCAUGGACUACUUGAACGGAGAAGGGCGAGGGGCGGGGGGGGGCGAGGCGCCACAGGGGGUGGCUGCAGGGGGGCGGGGUAGGAAUCAGGCAAGCUGAUGAGCAAGCGCACCGGGGAGGCCAGAGGACAGCGUCUGUGCGCACAGCAGCGGCGCACAGAUGCAUGCACGAACCAGGAGAAACGAUGACAGCACUCGCUCCUCCUCUUUCUGUGCUCCUCAUGCACGGUGCGUGCGCGUGCACAAGAGGACACCCCCACCGUGCAAGGGCGUGUGGGGUCGGGGGAGGCAGCGGAGGAGAGGGCAAGACGGACUGGGGAAGGAGGGAAGCUCUCUGAGGCAUGAAGGCCGACCAUACGUCGGGCAUACGUGCGUCACGUGUGCGCAUGCUCGUGCGUGUGGGCGCGUGCACCCUUGUGACCCCGCUCCCCCUCCCAUGAGUGUCGCGCUCCACGUUGCCCUUCUCUUGCUGCUGCGGCUCUCCCGUGCUCCUGGAACUCACAGGAGGACACCAAAAAGCACCACGACGACACGGAGAAGAAAAUCGAGCACCGCCUCGAUCUCCUCUGCUGUCGUGGUUUUCUUUUCUCGCUUCUGUUGUUUGCAGCUUGCUGCCCCGCGUUUUCGUUUUCUUUGUCGUUUUCAUUAUUAUUUUUUCUUUCUGUCGCUUCUCGCUUUCUUCUCUCGUUCCUCCGCAGAAACUUCGUAUGGACUUGUGCGUGCGUGUGCCUCUCUGCCUUUUCUCUCUUGUUGUCGUUGUGCGCUGCUGCCCUUGUUUCUGUUUCGCUCUGUGCGCAGGCGACAGGCUGAUGGAGAGGAUGAAAAAACGGAACGAAAGGCGACAGCAAUACAGCGGAGGAGGGGAAAAGGCGCGUGCAACGGCAGCAGCACAGGCGCGCAGGCACAGGAAGGUGGGCAAUCGAACGACGGCACACAAAGCGGAUAGGGUCGGUACACAGACGUGAGGAAAGCGGAAGGGAGACAGGGCUGCAUUUCUGUUGUUCUUCGUGACCCGAGUCCGUCCGUGCCUGUGUGCCUGUGCCUGCGCUCCUUGUGUCCUUUUACCUCUCCGCCUCUCUCGUGCUUUUUCCGUGCUUGUUUCUUCAUCGUUUCAUUUACAACGUCAAAUCCUCCAG